This 305-nucleotide ribosomal RNA is filed under the name uncultured bacterium. Its description in RNAcentral is "bacterial SSU rRNA". It matches the Rfam family "Bacterial small subunit ribosomal RNA", at positions 333 to 635 of the family's 1533-position model. The record is from RNAcentral.
CGAUUCCUACGGGGCGCAGCAGUGAGGAAUAUUGGUCAAUGGGCGGGAGCCUGAACCAGCCAAGUCGCGUGAGGGAAGACGGUCCUAUGGAUUGUAAACCUCUUUAGGCGGGGCGCAAUGCCGGGCACGCGUGUCCGGCGGGAGAGUACCCGCAGAAUAAGCAUCGGCUAACUCCGUGCCAGCAGCCGCGGUAAUACGGAGGAUGCGAGCGUUAUCCGGAUUUAUUGGGUUUAAAGGGUGCGUAGGCGGAUUUUUAAGUCAGCGGUAAAAUGUCCGGGCUCAACCCGGGCCGGCCGUUGAAAUUG